Molecule: ribosomal RNA, 405 nt
Filed under: Halomonas ventosae
Lineage: Bacteria; Pseudomonadati; Pseudomonadota; Gammaproteobacteria; Oceanospirillales; Halomonadaceae
Description: bacterial SSU rRNA
Rfam family: Bacterial small subunit ribosomal RNA
Source: RNAcentral
ACGAUGGAGCUUGCUCCAGGCGUCGAGCGGCGGACGGGUGAGUAAUGCAUAGGAAUCUGCCCGGUAGUGGGGGAUAACCUGGGGAAACCCAGGCUAAUACCGCAUACGUCCUACGGGAGAAAGCAGGGGAUUUUCGGACCUUGCGCUAUCGGAUGAGCCUAUGUCGGAUUAGCUUGUUGGUGAGGUAAUGGCUCACCAAGGCGACGAUCCGUAGCUGGUCUGAGAGGAUGAUCAGCCACAUCGGGACUGAGACACGGCCCGAACUCCUACGGGAGGCAGCAGUGGGGAAUAUUGGACAAUGGGCGCAAGCCUGAUCCAGCCAUGCCGCGUGUGUGAAGAAGGCUUUCGGGUUGUAAAGCACUUUCAGUGAGGAAGAACGCCUUGGGGCCAAUACCCCCGAGGAAG